GAACCCCUAUAGAGCCGUACGCGGGGAGUGGACACAGGGGGGAUGCGCAGCGAGAGCCGAAGACCUCUAAAGAUGAAAGGCGAAUAGACUGGGGGCCAAGGAGAGGGGCGGCUGCCUCUCCAAAUCGUGGACCGGGCAGCUCUGCAGUUGGAGCUACUGAGGCUCAGAGAAAGGGGAAAAGACUUGCCCAAGGUCGCACAGGUGGAGGUGAGAGAGACGAUAGCUGAAUUCAUGGGAGCUGCUGAUAUCACCAAAAGAAAAUAUGGAGAGGAGUGAACCUCAGUUACAGCACCAGAGGACACUUAAAAGUUAAGAGCAUAGGGAGGAGAACAAAGAAAGAACAUAAAACCCAAGGGAAGGGAGAGGAUCCAGAAGAUGAUUAACAUUGUCAAAUGCAAGUGUCAAGAAGAAUGAGGACCGGAGAAAGGACAGCACACCGCAAGGAUCUUGCUCUUACUAUGACCUUCCCGCAGGUUCCCCCUCCUAAACGUGCCCUUCCAUCCUCCUCCACAGCCACCCCUAACUCUUCUUACUGAUGGUACCACAAGCCCUUCCCCCCUACUACCGUUCCCUGACCCCCCCCUCCCCGAUCCCAUGGUCUCCCCUCAACCUUUGGCUCCCAACACCCCA
Long non-coding RNA from Vombatus ursinus (common wombat), 630 nucleotides. RefSeq lists it as uncharacterized. The transcript has 3 exons. The record is from RefSeq and is a predicted model, not a curated record. Lineage: Eukaryota; Metazoa; Chordata; Mammalia; Diprotodontia; Vombatidae.